GGACUACACGGGUUUCUAAUCCCAUUUGCUACCCUGGCUUUCGUUCCUCAGCGUCAAUUACGGCCCAGUAAAGCGCUUACGCCACCGAUGUUCCUCCUGAUAUCUAAGCAUUUCACCGCUACACCAGGAAUUCCCUUUACCUCUACCGCAUUCCAGCUUGCAAGUAUCAAGUGCCAUACACAGGUUGAGCCUGCGCCUUUAACACCUGACUUUACAUGCCGCCUACGAACUCUUUACGCCCAAUGAUUCCGGACAACGCUUGCACCCUCCGUAUUACCGCGGCUGCUGGCAC
This 292-nucleotide unclassified non-coding RNA is filed under the name uncultured cyanobacterium. RNAcentral describes it as "contains 16S-23S intergenic spacer region". The record is from RNAcentral. Lineage: Bacteria; Bacillati; Cyanobacteriota.